CGGCGAGUGAAGCGGCAAGAGCUCAAAUUUGAAAUCUGGUCCUUUCAGGGCCCGAGUUGUAAUUUGCAGAGGAUGCUUUGGGUGCGGCCGCGGCGUAAGUGCCCUGGAACGGGCUGUCUCAGAGGGUGAGAAUCCCGUCUUGAGUCGCCGGUUCGCGCCCGUGUAAAGCUCCUUCGACGAGUCGAGUUGUUUGGGAAUGCAGCUCUAAAUGGGUGGUAAAUUUCAUCUAAAGCUAAAUAUUGGCUGGAGACCGAUAGCGCACAAGUAGAGUGAUCGAAAGGUUAAAAGCACCUUGAAAAGGGAGUUAAAUAGCACGUGAAAUUGUUGAAAGGGAAGCGCUUGCAACCAGACUCGGCCGCAGAGGCUCAACGGGCACGUGUGCCUGUGCACUCCUCUGUGGUCGGGCCACCAUCAGUUCUGGCGACCGGUCAAAGGCCCCUGGAAUGUGUCGUCCUCCGGGACGUCUUAUACCCAGGGGUGCAAUGCGGCCAGCCGGGACUGAGGAACGCCCUUCGGCACGGAUGCUGGCAUAAUGGUUGUAAGCGGCCCGUCUUGAAACACGGACCAAGGAGUCUAACAUCCACGCGAGUGUUCGGGUGUCAAACCCGUGCGCGCAGUGAAAGCGAACGGAGGUGGGAUCCCCGCAAGGGGCGCACCAUCGACCGAUCCUGAAGUCUUCGGAUGGAUUUGAGUAAGAGCGUGGAUGUUGGGACCCGAAAGAUGGUGAACUAUGCCUGAAUAGGGCGAAGCCAGAGGAAACUCUGGUGGAGGCUCGCAGCGGUUCUGACGUGCAAAUCGAUCGUCAAAUUUGGGUAUAGGGGCGAAAGACUAAUCGAACCAUCUAGUAGCUGGUUCCUGCCGAGU
This 864-nucleotide ribosomal RNA is filed under the name Gymnoascus reessii. RNAcentral's name for it is "LSU rRNA". It matches the Rfam family "Eukaryotic large subunit ribosomal RNA", at positions 87 to 966 of the family's 3401-position model. Lineage: Eukaryota; Fungi; Ascomycota; Eurotiomycetes; Onygenales; Gymnoascaceae. The record is from RNAcentral.